GGGGGCAAGCGUUGUUCGGAAUUACUGGGCGUAAAGGGCUCGUAGGCGGCCAACUAAGUCGGAUGUGAAAUCCCCAGGCUCAACUUGGGAACUGCAUCCGAUACUGGAUGGCUUGAAUUCGGGAGAGGGAUGCAGAAUUCCAGGUGUAGCGGUGAAAUGCGUAGAUAUCUGGAGGAAUACCGGUGGCGAAGGCGGCAUCCUGGACCGACAUUGACGCUGAGGAGCGAAAGCUAGGGGAGCAAACGGG
Molecule: ribosomal RNA, 247 nt
Filed under: uncultured bacterium
Lineage: Bacteria
Description: partial 16S ribosomal RNA
Rfam family: Bacterial small subunit ribosomal RNA
Source: RNAcentral